Molecule: long non-coding RNA, 122 nt
Organism: Etheostoma spectabile (orangethroat darter)
Lineage: Eukaryota; Metazoa; Chordata; Actinopteri; Perciformes; Percidae
Exons: 3
Source: RefSeq, a predicted model, not a curated record
CAGAGUAUGAGGCCCUGACAGUACCUAGGUAAGGACUACUAGCCAGUCAGAAGCAGAGUAUGAGGGCGGGCCCUGACAGUACCUAGGUAGGACUAUAGCCAGUCAGGAGCAGAGUAUGAGGG